RNAcentral lists this long non-coding RNA (948 nucleotides) under Bemisia tabaci. RNAcentral describes it as "lncRNA ENSSSA3NGG012919". Lineage: Eukaryota; Metazoa; Arthropoda; Insecta; Hemiptera; Aleyrodidae. The record is from RNAcentral.
UUAAUGCCUCAAGAGGGUGGUAUUCAGCAUAAAGAAACCGAUUUUUUGCCUAGUUUCAGAAGCACCAUCUUCGCUGCUAAUUUGUCUGUGCAUGUAGGUUUUUCUUUAAAUCCUGGUUCUUUUUUGAUGAAUACCGCCUGAAUGGAGGGAUGACACAGGCCUAUACCAAACAGCCCAAUAAUAUCUGUCUAAAGUUAUGUGUUUUGAUAUUUACAGCUGCGUACAAAAAUGCGGACGGAAAGAAAAUAGAUGGGAAACGAGUCUUGGUGGAUGUAGAACGAGCGCGAACUGUUAAAGGAUGGCUGCCUCGUCGUUUGGGUGGAGGCCUUGGGGGAACUCGUCGUGGAGGUCCGGAUGUUAAUCUAAAGCACUCUGGUCGAGAAGAUAAUGAAAGGGAACGCGAACGAUACCGCCUUGAGCGAGAAAGAGAAAUGGCAGGUGGUGAUCGACGGGUUGACCGCGAUCGUCGGCGGAGUAGAUCGCGCGAUAGAGGAGAUAGAGACCGCAGGGAUCGCGAUCGUGAUAGGGACCGUGAUCGCGAACGUAGGAGACGCUCGAGGAGUCGCUCUCGAGAUCGUAGAAGGCAUAGGAGUAGAGAACGCGUUCGAGACCCUGAUAUUGAAGAAAUUGAGGAAAGACCCAGAGACCGUGAUCGUGACCGUGAUAGGAAACGCAGGCGCAGUCGGUCGAAAGAUAGGGACCGUAAACGUGACCGCAAGGACAGAGACAGGACCGUGAUAGGGAUAAGGACAAAGAUAGGUAAGUUCACUUUUCAUUAUAAAGUUCCUGAGUUUAGACAAGGUUUAAGUCUGGAAAAUGUAAGUUAAAAUACCUACAUCAAUUUUACAUGAUUGAAUUGUCUCUUUUUAAUCACUUUUUGUCAGUCAUUUGCGAUUCUCGUUAAUUUAUCCUUUACCUUCAAUGUAAGUGUUCCUUGAAAGUAAUAAC